ACUCAAAUGAAUUGACGGGGGCCCGCACAAGCAGCGGAGCGUGUGGUUUAAUUCGAGGCUACGCGAAGAACCUUACCUAGGCUUGACAUGCAAGUGGUAGUGAAGUGAAAGCGGAACGACCUUCGGGAGCUUGCACAGGUGCUGCAUGGCUGUCGUCAGCUCGUGCCGUGAGGUGUUCGGUUAAGUCCGAAAACGAGCGCAACCCCUAGUGCCAGUUACAAGUGUCUGGCGCGACUGCCCGGGGAAACUGGGAGGAAGGUGGGGAUGACGUCAAGUCAGCAUGGCCUUUAUGUCUAGGGCGACACACACGCUACAAUGGUCGGUACAAUAGGCAGCCAAGCCGCGAGGCGGAGCGAAUCCAAUAAAGCCGAUCACAGUUCGGAUUGCAGGCUGCAACUCGCCUGCAUGAAGUCGGAGUUGCUAGUAAACGCGGGUCAGCUACACCGCGUUGAAUACGUUCCCGGGCCUUGCACACACCGCCCGU
RNAcentral lists this ribosomal RNA (484 nucleotides) under uncultured bacterium. RNAcentral describes it as "partial 16S ribosomal RNA". It matches the Rfam family "Bacterial small subunit ribosomal RNA", at positions 899 to 1397 of the family's 1533-position model. The record is from RNAcentral.